RNAcentral lists this ribosomal RNA (400 nucleotides) under phytoplankton environmental sample. RNAcentral describes it as "partial small subunit ribosomal RNA". It matches the Rfam family "Eukaryotic small subunit ribosomal RNA", at positions 587 to 988 of the family's 1831-position model. The record is from RNAcentral.
AGCUCCAAUAGCGUAUAUUAAAGUUGUUGCAGUUAAAAAGCUCGUAGUUGGAUUUGUGGCGUACGUUGGGCUGCCGUCACUAUUUGGUGUCGGUGUUGCUUGGCGUUGCCAUCCUUGGGUGGAAUCUGUGUGGCAUUAGGUUGUCGUGCAGGGGAUGCCCAUCGUUUACUGUGAAAAAAUUAGAGUGUUCAAAGCAGGCUUACGCCGUUGAAUAUAUUAGCAUGGAAUAAUAAGAUAGGACCUUGGUACUAUUUUGUUGGUUUGCGCACCGAGGUAAUGAUUAAUAGGGACAGUUGGGGGUAUUCGUAUUUCAUUGUCAGAGGUGAAAUUCUUGGAUUUUUGAAAGACGAACUACUGCGAAAGCAUUUACCAAGGAUGUUUUCAUUAAUCAAGAACGAAA